RNAcentral lists this ribosomal RNA (253 nucleotides) under uncultured bacterium. RNAcentral's name for it is "partial 16S ribosomal RNA". It matches the Rfam family "Bacterial small subunit ribosomal RNA", at positions 524 to 776 of the family's 1533-position model. The record is from RNAcentral.
GACGAACCGAGCGAACGUUGUUCGGAAUCACUGGGCUUAAAGGGCGCGUAGGCGGGCGAUCAAGUCCGGGGUGAAAGCCCCCAGCUCAACUGGGGAGGUGCCUCGGAUACUGACCGCCUCGAGGGAGAUAGGGGCGUGCGGAACUUCCGGUGGAGCGGUGAAAUGCGUAGAUAUCGGAAGGAACACCGGUGGCGAAAGCGGCGCGCUGGAUCUCUUCUGACGCUGAGGCGCGAAAGCCAGGGGAGCGAACGGG